GCGCCAAUGGUUUAGUGGUAAAAUACAGCUUUGCCAUAGCUGUGCCGGGGGUUCGAUUCCCCCUUGGCGCA
RNAcentral lists this transfer RNA (71 nucleotides) under Malassezia sympodialis ATCC 42132. Its description in RNAcentral is "tRNA-Gly (GCC) (tRNA-Gly-GCC-1 1 to 4)". It matches the Rfam family "tRNA". Rfam says of the family: Transfer RNA (tRNA) molecules are approximately 80 nucleotides in length. Their secondary structure includes four short double-helical elements and three loops (D, anti-codon, and T loops). Further hydrogen bonds mediate the characteristic L-shaped molecular structure. tRNAs have two regions of fundamental functional importance: the anti-codon, which is responsible for specific mRNA codon recognition, and the 3' end, to which the tRNAs corresponding amino acid is attached (by aminoacyl-tRNA synthetases). tRNAs cope with the degeneracy of the genetic code in two manners: having more than one tRNA (with a specific anti-codon) for a particular amino acid; and 'wobble' base-pairing, i.e. permitting non-standard base-pairing at the 3rd anti-codon position. Lineage: Eukaryota; Fungi; Basidiomycota; Malasseziomycetes; Malasseziales; Malasseziaceae. The record is from RNAcentral.